ACUCCUACGGGAGGCAGCAGUGGGGAAUAUUGGACAAUGGGGGCAGCCCUGAUCCAGCGAUGCCGCGUGUGUGAAGAAGGCCUAAGGGUUGUAAAGCACUUUCGGUGGGGAGGAGGACUAUUAGGUUAAGAGCUAGAUAGUUGGACGUUACCCACAUAAGAAGCACCGGCUAACUCCGUGCCAGCAGCCGCGGUAAUACGAAGGGUGCAAGCGUUACU
This 218-nucleotide ribosomal RNA is filed under the name uncultured bacterium. RNAcentral's name for it is "partial 16S ribosomal RNA". It matches the Rfam family "Bacterial small subunit ribosomal RNA", at positions 335 to 545 of the family's 1533-position model. The record is from RNAcentral.